AGAGUACGAGAUGCUACGGCAUCGAAGCAGUCUAUGUCAUACUUCCAAGAAAAGCUUGCAAUGUCAUAAACAAAUAAUGCCUGUACCAUAACCGACACAGGUGGGUAGGUAGAGUAUACUAAGGGGCGCGAGAUAACUCUCUCUAAGGAACUCGGCAAAAUGACUCCGUAACUUCGGGAGAAGGAGUGCCUUAUUUUUAUAAGGUUGCAAUAACAAGAUCCAAGCAACUGUUUACCAAAAACACAGGUCUCCGCUAAGUCGUAAGACGAUGUAUGGGGGCUGACGCCUGCCCAGUGCCAGAAGGUUAAAGAAGUUGGUUAGCAUUAGCGAAGCUGAUAACUGAAGCCCUGGUGAACGGCGGCCGUAACUAUAACGGUCCUAAGGUAGCGAAAUUCCUUGUCGGGUAAGUUCCGACCCGCACGAAAGGCGUAAUGAUUUGGAUACUGUCUCGGAGAGGGGCUCGGUGAAAUAGACUUGUCUGUGAAGAUGCGGACUACCUGCACCUGGACAGAAAGACCCUAUGAAGCUUUACUGUAACUUGAGAUUGAAAUUGGACUUUAUCUGCGCAGUAUAGGUGGGAGACGUUGAAAAUAUUCUUGCAGGAAUAUUGGAGUCAUCAGUGAGAUACCACUCCUAUAAUGUUAGAUUUCUAACUUUGUAUCAUUAUCUGGUCAAAGAACAGUUUCAGGCGGGCAGUUUGACUGGGGCGGUCGCCUCCCAAACGGUAACGGAGGCGCACAAAGGUUUCCUCUGAACGUGUAGAAAUCGUAUCUAGAGUGUAAAGGCAUAAGGAAGCUUGACUGUGAGACCUACAAGUCGAGCAGGGACGAAAGUCGGUCUUAGUGAUCUGACGGUGCUGAGUGGAAAGGCCGUCACUCAACGGAUAAAAGUUACUCUAGGAUAACAGGCUGAUCUCCCCCAAGAGUUCACAUCGACGGGGAGGUUUGGCACCUCGAUGUCGGCUCAUCGCAUCCUGGGGCGGUAGUACGUCCCAAGGGUUGGGCUGUUCGCCCAUGAAAGCGGUACGCGAGCUGGGUUCAGAACGUCGUGAGACAGUUCGGUCCAUAUCCGGUGUAGGCGUUAGAAUAUUGAGAGGAGCCUUCUUUAGUACGAGAGGACCGAGAAGGACAUACCUCUGGUGUACCAGUUAUCGUGCCAACGGUAAACGCUGGGUAGCCAUGUAUGGAGAGGAUAACCGCUGAAAGCAUCUAAGUGGGAAGCCCACCUCAAGAUAAGUAUUCU
RNAcentral lists this ribosomal RNA (1242 nucleotides) under metagenome. RNAcentral's name for it is "bacterial LSU rRNA". It matches the Rfam family "Bacterial large subunit ribosomal RNA", at positions 1564 to 2814 of the family's 2925-position model. The record is from RNAcentral.